AUACGGAGGGUGCAAGCGUUGUUCGGAAUUACUGGGCGUAAAGGGCGCGCAGGCGGUUUGGUAAGUCAGAUGUGAAAGUCCAGGGCUUAACCCUGGAAGUGCAUAUGAAACUGUCAGACUUGAGUAUCAGAGGGGAAAGUGGAAUUCCCGGUGUAGAGGUGUAAUUCGUAGAUAUCGGGAGGAAUACCGGUGGCGAGGGCGACUUUCUGGCUGAAUACUGACGCUGAGACGCGAAAGCGUGGAGAGCAAACAGAAUUAGAAACCCUAGUAGUCC
This 274-nucleotide ribosomal RNA is filed under the name uncultured bacterium. RNAcentral's name for it is "partial 16S ribosomal RNA". It matches the Rfam family "Bacterial small subunit ribosomal RNA", at positions 523 to 796 of the family's 1533-position model. The record is from RNAcentral.